RNAcentral lists this ribosomal RNA (517 nucleotides) under uncultured Geobacteraceae bacterium. RNAcentral describes it as "bacterial SSU rRNA". It matches the Rfam family "Bacterial small subunit ribosomal RNA", at positions 9 to 526 of the family's 1533-position model. Lineage: Bacteria; Pseudomonadati; Thermodesulfobacteriota; Desulfuromonadia; Geobacterales; Geobacteraceae. The record is from RNAcentral.
GAGUUUGAUCCUGGCUCAGAACGAACGCUGGCGGCGUGCCUAACACAUGCAAGUCGAACGUGAUCCAGAGCUUGCUCUGGUGAAAGUGGCGCACGGGUGAGUAACGCGCGGAUAACCUACCCUGGUAUCCGGGAUAACAUUCCGAAAGGGGUGCUAAUACCGGAUAAGCCCACGGGCUCUUUGGAGCUUGCGGGAAAAGGUGGCCUCUAUUUAUAAGCUACUGUAUCAGGAUGGGUCCGCGUACCAUUAGCUAGUUGGCGGUGUAACGGACCACCAAGGCGACGAUGGUUAGCUGGUCUGAGAGGAUGAUCAGCCACACUGGAACUGAGACACGGUCCAGACUCCUACGGGAGGCAGCAGUGGGGAAUUUUGCGCAAUGGGGGAAACCCUGACGCAGCAACGCCGCGUGAGUGAUGAAGGCCUUUGGGUCGUAAAACUCUGUCCUAUGGGAAGAAAAAAAUGACGGUACCAUAGGAGGAAGCCCCGGCUAACUACGUGCCAGCAGCCGCGGUAAUAC